RNAcentral lists this ribosomal RNA (253 nucleotides) under uncultured bacterium. RNAcentral's name for it is "partial 16S ribosomal RNA". It matches the Rfam family "Bacterial small subunit ribosomal RNA", at positions 524 to 776 of the family's 1533-position model. The record is from RNAcentral.
UACGUAGGGGGCAAGCGUUGUCCGGAUUUAUUGGGCGUAAAGAGCGUGUAGGCGGCUGGGUAGGUCCGUUGUGAAAACUCGAGGCUCAACCUCGAGACGCCGAUGGAAACCCCCCAGCUAGAGUCCGGAAGAGGAGAGUGGAAUUCCUGGUGUAGCGGUGAAAUGCGCAGAUAUCAGGAGGAACACCGAUGGCGAAGGCAGGUCUCUGGGCCACUACUGACGCUGAGAAGCGAAAGCAUGGGGAGCGAACAGG